Molecule: ribosomal RNA, 795 nt
Filed under: uncultured bacterium
Lineage: Bacteria
Description: bacterial SSU rRNA
Rfam family: Bacterial small subunit ribosomal RNA
Source: RNAcentral
AGAGUUUGAUCAUGGCUCAGAUUGAACGCUGGCGGCGUGCCUAACACAUGCAAGUCGAGCGGUAACAGGUGUAGCAAUACAUGCUGACGAGCGGCGAACGGGUGAGUAAUGCUUCGGAAUCUACCCAAUGGUGGGGAAUAACCAGCCGAAAGGUUGGCUAAUACCGCAUACGUCCUACGGGAGAAAGCAGGGGAUCGUAAGACCUUGCGCCAAUGGAUGAGCCGAAGUCGGAUUAGCUAGUUGGUAGGGUAACGGCCUACCAAGGCGACGAUCCGUAGCUGGUCUGAGAGGACGACCAGCCACACUGGGACUGAGACACGGCCCAGACUCCUACGGGAGGCAGCAGUGGGGAAUAUUGGACAAUGGGGGAAACCCUGAUCCAGCGACGCCGCGUGUGUGAAGAAGGCCUGCGGGUUGUAAAGCACUUUUAGUGGGGAUGAAAAGUUCAGGGCUAACACCUCUGGAUCUUGACCUAACCCACAGAAAAAGCACCGGCUAACUCUGUGCCAGCAGCCGCGGUAAUACAGAGGGUGCGAGCGUUAAUCGGAAUUACUGGGCGUAAAGCGUGCGUAGACGGUUACAUAAGUCGGGUGUGAAAGCCCCGGGCUCAACCUGGGAAUUGCAUUCGAGACUGCGUAGCUAGGGUGCGGAAGAGGGAAGCGGAAUUUCCGGUGUAGCGGUGAAAUGCGUAGAUAUCGGAAGGAACACCAGUGGCGAAAGCGGCUUCCUGGUCCAGCACCGACGUUCAGGCACGAAAGCGUGGGGAGCAAACAGGAUUAGAUACCCUAGUAGUCC